This 474-nucleotide ribosomal RNA is filed under the name bacterium 1611-S1-10-1.1.2.2. RNAcentral's name for it is "bacterial SSU rRNA". It matches the Rfam family "Bacterial small subunit ribosomal RNA", at positions 59 to 512 of the family's 1533-position model. The record is from RNAcentral.
CAGUCGAGCGGCAGCGACAACAUUGACCCUUCGGGGGAUUUGUUGGGCGGCGAGCGGCGGACGGGUGAGUAAUGCCUGGGAACAUGCCUUAGUGUGGGGGAUAACCAUUGGAAACGAUGGCUAAUACCGCAUAAUCUCUACGGAGCAAAGAGGGGGACCUUCGGGCCUCUCGCGCUAAGAUUGGCCCAGGUGGGAUUAGCUAGUAGGUGGGGUAACGGCUCACCUAGGCGACGAUCCCUAGCUGGUCUGAGAGGAUGAUCAGCCACACUGGAACUGAGACACGGUCCAGACUCCUACGGGAGGCAGCAGUGGGGAAUAUUGCACAAUGGGGGAAACCCUGAUGCAGCCAUGCCGCGUGUGUGAAGAAGGCCUUCGGGUUGUAAAGCACUUUCAGCAGUGAGGAAGGCGGUAUCGUUAAUAGCGGUAUUGUUUGACGUUAGCUGCAGAAGAAGCACCGGCUAACUCCGUGCCAGC